UUGAUUUUGGUCGCCAACGAGUGGCGGACGGGUGAGUAACACGUAGGUAACCUGCCCAGAAGCGGGGGACAACAUUUGGAAACAGAUGCUAAUACCGCAUAACAGCGUUGUUCGCAUGAACAACGCUUAAAAGAUGGCUUCUCGCUAUCACUUCUGGAUGGACCUGCGGUGCAUUAGCUUGUUGGUGGGGUAACGGCCUACCAAGGCGAUGAUGCAUAGCCGAGUUGAGAGACUGAUCGGCCACAAUGGGACUGAGACACGGCCCAUACUCCUACGGGAGGCAGCAGUAGGGAAUCUUCCACAAUGGGCGCAAGCCUGAUGGAGCAACACCGCGUGAGUGAAGAAGGGUUUCGGCUCGUAAAGCUCUGUUGUUAAAGAAGAACACGUAUGAGAGUAACUGUUCAUACGUUGACGGUAUUUAACCAGAAAGUCACGGCUAACUACGUGCCAGCAGCCGCGGUAAUACGUAGGUGGCAAGCGUUAUCCGGAUUUAUUGGGCGUAAAGAGAGUGCAGGCGGUUUUCUAAGUCUGAUGUGAAAGCCUUCGGCUUAACCGGAGAAGUGCAUCGGAAACUGGAUAACUUGAGUGCAGAAGAGGGUAGUGGAACUCCAUGUGUAGCGGUGGAAUGCGUAGAUAUAUGGAAGAACACCAGUGGCGAAGGCGGCUACCUGGUCUGCAACUGACGCUGAGACUCGAAAGCAUGGGUAGCGAACAGGAUUAGAUACCCUGGUAGUCCAUGCCGUAAACGAUGAGUGCUAGGUGUUGGAGGGUUUCCGCCCUUCAGUGCCGGAGCUAACGCAUUAAGCACUCCGCCUGGGGAGUACGACCGCAAGGUUGAAACUCAAAGGAAUUGACGGGGGCCCGCACAAGCGGUGGAGCAUGUGGUUUAAUUCGAAGCUACGCGAAGAACCUUACCAGGUCUUGACAUCUUGCGCCAACCCUAGAGAUAGGGCGUUUCCUUCGGGAACGCAAUGACAGGUGGUGCAUGGUCGUCGUCAGCUCGUGUCGUGAGAUGUUGGGUUAAGUCCCGCAACGAGCGCAACCCUUGUUACUAGUUGCCAGCAUUAAGUUGGGCACUCUAGUGAGACUGCCGGUGACAAACCGGAGGAAGGUGGGGACGACGUCAGAUCAUCAUGCCCCUUAUGACCUGGGCUACACACGUGCUACAAUGGACGGUACAACGAGUCGCGAACUCGCGAGGGCAAGCAAAUCUCUUAAAACCGUUCUCAGUUCGGACUGCAGGCUGCAACUCGCCUGCACGAAGUCGGAAUCGCUAGUAAUCGCGGAUCAGCAUGCCGCGGUGAAUACGUUCCCGGGCCUUGUACACACCGCCCGUCACACCAUGAGAGU
RNAcentral lists this ribosomal RNA (1350 nucleotides) under Limosilactobacillus fermentum. RNAcentral describes it as "bacterial SSU rRNA". It matches the Rfam family "Bacterial small subunit ribosomal RNA", at positions 74 to 1411 of the family's 1533-position model. The record is from RNAcentral. Lineage: Bacteria; Bacillati; Bacillota; Bacilli; Lactobacillales; Lactobacillaceae.